This 295-nucleotide unclassified non-coding RNA is filed under the name uncultured Leotiomycetes. RNAcentral describes it as "sequence contains ITS1". The stretch from base 1 to 105 matches the Rfam family "5.8S ribosomal RNA", at positions 50 to 154 of the family's 154-position model. The record is from RNAcentral. Lineage: Eukaryota; Fungi; Ascomycota; Leotiomycetes.
GAAAUGCGAUAAGUAAUGUGAAUUGCAGAAUUCAGUGAAUCAUCGAAUCUUUGAACGCACAUUGCGCCCUCUGGUAUUCCGGGGGGCAUGCCUGUUCGAGCGUCAUUACAACCCUCAAGCUCUGCUUGGUAUUGGGCCCUGCUGAGUUUCGGCAGGCCUUAAAAUCAGUGGCGGUGCCAUUCGGCUUCAAGCGUAGUAAUUUUUCUCGCUUCGGAGAUCCGGGUGUGUGCUUGCCAGCAACCCCCAAUUUUUUCAGGUUGACCUCGGAUCAGGUAGGGAUACCCGCUGAACUUAA